Small nucleolar RNA from Drosophila bipectinata, 135 nucleotides. RefSeq annotates it as small nucleolar RNA snoR639/H1. Lineage: Eukaryota; Metazoa; Arthropoda; Insecta; Diptera; Drosophilidae. The record is from RefSeq and is a predicted model, not a curated record.
ACCCCAGGAUAUUAAGCCGGCAGCUGCUUCGAAUCCCACGAGCGCCUGUGACUAUGAUUGGGAACAGUAAUGCUUCUGAUGUGUGUAUGUUAGGCAACGUUUCCUGCGGGCUUAACAAAGAAAUUUCAGUCGACA